UACGUAGGGUGCGAGCGUUAAUCGGAAUUACUGGGCGUAAAGCGUGCGCAGGCGGUUUGGUAAGACAGAUGUGAAAUCCCCGGGCUUAACCUGGGAAUUGCAUUUGUGACUGCCCGGCUAGAGUGUGUCAGAGGGGGGUAGAAUUCCACGUGUAGCAGUGAAAUGCGUAGAUAUGUGGAGGAAUACCGAUGGCGAAGGCAGCCCCCUGGGAUAACACUGACGCUCAUGCACGAAAGCGUGGGGAGCGAACAGG
Molecule: ribosomal RNA, 253 nt
Filed under: uncultured bacterium
Lineage: Bacteria
Description: partial 16S ribosomal RNA
Rfam family: Bacterial small subunit ribosomal RNA
Source: RNAcentral